Long non-coding RNA from Diabrotica virgifera virgifera (western corn rootworm), 4876 nucleotides. RefSeq lists it as uncharacterized. The transcript has 3 exons. NCBI's taxonomy places the organism in Eukaryota, Metazoa, Arthropoda, Insecta, Coleoptera, Chrysomelidae. The record is from RefSeq and is a predicted model, not a curated record.
UAUUUAAAAAUAAAACUAUAUUUUAAAAACUUUGACCUAUCACCUAAAUUUUUAUUUCCUUGGAAACAUAAUCCACAACCCUAUAAAUAACCAUUUUUCUCAAUAAAAAUGUAAAUAUUUCGAAAAUUAUUAACUUUAGGCCUAUAAGACCUUAUAGAAAUUUUUCAUAUUUUUAAAUAAUAUAUUCAACAAUGAUUUAAUAUACAGGGUGUUCCAUUUAAAAAAAAUACAACUUUGGUUCAUACCGUCGUUCUGACUCACCCUGUAUAAUUGAAAAUAAUUUUAAAUUAUAGAUCUCUUUGAUGCACAUUAGUUUUGUUAUAAACAUUUUUUGGUAUAUCUCAUAGUUUAGCCGUAAUCAAAGAAGACCAGAGGUUUGGCGCACCCUGUAUAGCUAAAUAAAAAUAAAACCUACAUUUUACUAACACACAACAUCACCAAAUAAGUACAUACAUACCAAGAAGAAAUGAGCGUUCACGUACACUCCUUCAGAGUCGAGUCACACAACACAGGAUAGGGAGAAGGUAGUUUUCUGUGGUUUCCUACCUUCAUUGCACAAUGAUACCUAUACCUAGGAGAGGAUCUAGCCACAGCUAACCUCCACGCGUUUAACCAAAAAAACAAAAAGCCAAAAACUCUGAAAAGAGCCGUUUGUUCACACCGGGCUUGGGUUUUCGUUUCAGGCUUGGUAUCUUCCAGAAAGCAAAAAAGCAACAGCGACCAAAUCAACCAACAACAGGGAAAAAGAAGGAGCUUGUCCUCCUAGAAUAUUUUCUACGACGUACCCAAUUCCAAAAAUUCUUCUAGCCCCGUUCCGUGAAGAGGCGAAAAAGCCUAAACGCGAUUAUCAUGACGUGCCCUACCUACCCUAACAAUGGACAGCCUAAGUCUAACGUCACAAAUGUCACAAAAUUGGGAGGAGCUUAUAUUGGCUGCAAACAAUUUUAUUUGUAACGUAAAUGGCCAUAAGGAAUAUUUCAUUUAUUGUUUGUGUGCUUUAUUUCGCAAAAUAAGACUUUUCACUUAGGUCUUUCGUUAAAGAAACGUGUUAACUAAGAUAUUUUUAUUCAUUUCUGCUCAGCCUUCCAAGAUUGCUUCAGAAUGGGAAUGUGCUUUGUUCCCGACUGCAAGCAUUACAGUUCAAAAAAUGCUUGUAAAUUUUUUCGAUUCCCAAAGAAAAAGACUGAAAGAACUAGAUGGAUUUAUCUUAUAAGGCGAAAAGACAGAGACCCAGGUGAAUCUUCAAAAGUGUGUGAUUGCCACUUUGUAGAUAAAGAAAAAAAAGAAUGGUCCAAUCUUGUUUAAUUUCAAUAUUCACAAGAAGUUUAACAUACAAUAUCCAGAGAAAAGGUAUGUUUCUUGUUGCUAUAAUCUCCAUUAGUUGUGUGUGCUAGAUCAUGGCAUCAGACAAAAUCUAUUUGCCAUAAAUCGUAAAUUCUUAUAAUAAUAGUCUCCCGUUUUAUACCGCUGCGGCUUUGGGAGUAUAGCAGGGUAGUCUGCUAUAUCUAGGGCCUACGGUAUACAAGGAAGGUAACAGGGCUAGUGUUACGCUUCAACCACCUAUUAUUACCCCUGGUUUUACCCAAGGUACUCAUUUUAUUCAGGCUGAGUCGACCUGGGGCCUAUAAACAUUUUAAAAAUGUCUAGUUGUUCUUGCCGGCAGUAGGAUCUGAACUCCGGACCACUGGCAUGCGAGCCAAGCACACUACCACUUCGCUACGCCGGCUCUAAACGUAAAUUCUUAAUUAUUUUAAAUGUUUUCAUGAUGUCUAUUUCUUUAAAAUAUACCAACAUUUUUACAUUUCUGAUAAUUUUUUAUAUGUUCAAAAUAAGUGGGUGAUUGCAGUAGAUAAGUAAUGCCGAAAUGGCGACACAUAGGGAAAUCAAUGUGUUAGAGAGAGAGCGUUUUAUCAAUGUGUGGGAGAGAGACAGAUGAUGUGACACGCCCCGACGCUCCGUGGAAGGAAUCUACUAACUUAUAGUUCAACUUUUAUCCGCUAGACGUCACUAGUAGUCACUAAUCAGCCGCCAUUGUUCCAUAAUAUUUUUGCCGCAUGUCCGACGUGUCGUCGAAGGAAUCUACUGACUUAUAGUUCAACUUUUAUCCGCUAGACGUCACUAGUAGUCCUAGUCACCCGCCAUUGUUCCAUAAUAUUUUUAUAAAUUAUGUAGCUACCAAAAAUCUUCUUUUCCGCAACUGUCAAAUCUUGUCGCAGUUGCCACUGUCAAAUCUUCUUUUUCACAGUGUGUCAAAUCUUCUUCUUUUUGCAAAUAUACCUUUCGUUUAUAAUGUUAUUUACCAUUGUGUUUCAGAUAUCGUUCGCCAUUUUUUAUCCAAAGUAAUUUACACACACAUGAAGAGUAUAGUUAGAAGUAGUAGAAGUUAUUAAAGGUGUAUUAUGGGCGAUAUAUUAAAAAAUUAAAAAUAUUUCUGCUGAGAAUAUGAUCCUCUACAAGUACCUACUAGAUAUAAAAAUUAUUUGCAAUUUACAGAGAAACGAUGCAUUUAUUUAUUACUAAAAAUUUUAUUCAAAUAUACCUCAACGCAUGCAAAAUAGGAUUGUCCGAGGGAGUCCCCAUUAGUAUCUAUAAGACAAACGAUGAAUUUAUUUAUUACUAAAAAUUAUAUUCAAAAUACCUCAACGCAUGCAGAAUGGGUAUUUUCCAAGGUUGAAUAUAUAAUUUAUAUACAAAUGAAAAUUACUGUUAUUAACACAUUAUUUUCGCGACUUCUAUUUUUAUCUAUAAUUAUUAACAUCGACUGCAUUUCACAUGCAAUUGGAAUUUCCGUUACCACAUUGUUACUGUACUAAGUAUGUAGCAUGACAUAAUUAUUCAAGAACCAACAUGACUUUCAAGAAUAAACUGGAGAAUGUGUAAUUAUAGAUACAUGUGACGUCAAUGAAGCUACAAUAUAAAAUAGGAUGCACAUGGGUAUUGCACUCAUUGUGCUUAGCAGUAACGUUUGUGUAGUGACUCUAAUACACCGAGGUAAGUUUUUCUCUUUAUGAUUUUGUUUUUUAACUUGUGCAUAAAUUGUUUUUUUUUUGUUUUUUGCAUUCUUUGUAUGAGUACACAUAAUUUUCUCGAUUUUCGUCUUCUUUGUUUUAUUCGUACAGUAUUCAUAUUAUUUCUCUAUUUUCAUGCAGUAUACACACUAUUUUAGUGUACCUACUUAGAUAGAUAGAAAUUUCCGUUUGACUCGCUAUAUCUAUUCUCUAUUGUAAUAUAUUUUUUUAACUUGCUCAUAAAUUGUUUUUGUUUUUGCAUUCUUUGUAUAAGUACACAUAAUUUUCUCGAUUUUCGUCUUAUUUAUUUUAUUCGUACAGUAUACAUAUUAUUUCUCUAUUUUCAUGAAGUAUACACACUUUUUUUAUUUUUUUUUUUUUUUGCAUUCUUUGUAUGAGUACACAUAAUUUUCUCGAUUUUCGUCUUCUUUGUUUUAUUCGUACAGUAUUCAUAUCAUUUCUCUAUUUUCAUGCAGUAUACACACUAUUUCGAUAAAAAUGCUAUUUUAGUGUACCUACUUAGAUAGAAAUUUCAGUUUGACUCGCUAUAUCUAUUCUCUAUUGUAUAAGUACACUCAAUUUUCUCGAUUUUCUUCUUAUUUCUUUAUUCGUACAGUAUACAUAUUAUUUCUCUAUUUUCAUGAAGUAUACACACUAUUUCGAUAAAAAUGAUAUAUUCUCUAUUGUAAUAUUUUUUUUUUGAUUUUUCGUUUUUGCUAUUACCUUAUACCAAUAGUGUUGGUUGGAAUUUAAUAUACAGUUGUGUAUGCAAAUCAAUAAAAAUUGAAGUACCAGUCAUAUAUUAUUUAUUUUCUAUUUUCGUAGAAUUCGUUUUUAUUCGUAAAAAUAUAUACACAUAUUGUGAUUUUUCCACUUACUGUUAUUCCUAAUAGUUUUAAUUUAAUUUUCUAAAUAUAUACAGUUCGCUAAAUGGAGGUCAAUAUAAAAUGUUCUUAAAUUAAAAAUGUUUUGUUGCUAUUGGAUUUACGCUUCAAAUACGUUUUUAUUUAUUAUAGAUGGACCUAUCAAAAUUAAAUAAGGCUACUGUUAUUGCAGAGAGAGGCCAAAUCAGAAAGCUUAGCAGCCUACCCAUUGGUGUGCCACACAAAAUACUGGCGGCCAAAGAAGUGAACUCCCAAUUCGGCAAUUCAAUCCUGCUAGAAUUGGAAAAGGAGGAGGUAACAUUCCUGCCGCCACGGGUCACGGAAGUAUACAGACCAUACCUCAAAUAUUUUGAAGAGGGGAAAUACAGCCUGGUCUUUAAAGGACACGUCACUACAAAGAAAGCACAACCAGCCGCCUCGUUCGAAAUAAUAGAACAUUAGAAAAUUAAAAGGGUGAGCGAUUUUUAGUAUUUUUUAUAUUUGUUUGUCGUAAAAAAUUUUUUUAAUAAAAUGUCUUCGAAUAAUAUUGAUAAUAUCAUUAAACAAACGGACGGUGUUGUACUAGCAAUUAGAAAGUUACGAAAAAUUUUAUUUGAUAAUUUUACAAUCAGUGAUGCGGAAGUGUGGUUAAAUAGAUUACAAAAACAAAUUAGAUUAUGUAAAAGGAUAAUUCGUAGUAGAAAACAGAAUAAAUUAUCUGUAGGGACUUGUAGAAAAAUAGAAACAAAUAUGGGCCAUUUUAAACAUUUCAGAAAGCUAAUUUUAAAUAGACAUAUCGGGGCAGGUCUUCACCUAAAGUUGGGGCAGAGGGUUAAAUGGGAAAAUGUACAAUCAAGUUUUCAAAGUAGAAUCAAAACCGGAAUUAUAGCUAAUUUACGACAUAAGGAUUUGAAUCAAUUUUUAGGAGAUUGCGUAGUUGUUUUUAAAAAUAAAAUCGGUAAAAUUUUAAAAACUCACUCUGCACUUAAAGUAAAUACAGCAUUU